RNAcentral lists this ribosomal RNA (119 nucleotides) under Triticum aestivum (bread wheat). Lineage: Eukaryota; Viridiplantae; Streptophyta; Magnoliopsida; Poales; Poaceae. The record is from RNAcentral.
GUAUGUGAUCAUACCAGCACUAAAGCACCGGAUCCCAUCAGAACUCUGAAGUUAAGCGUGCUUGGGCGAGAGUAGUACUAGGAUGGGUGACCUCCUGGGAAGUCCUCGUGUUGCAUUCC